This is a long non-coding RNA of Rhopalosiphum padi (bird cherry-oat aphid), 1602 nucleotides long. RefSeq lists it as uncharacterized. The record is from RefSeq and is a predicted model, not a curated record. Lineage: Eukaryota; Metazoa; Arthropoda; Insecta; Hemiptera; Aphididae. The transcript has 4 exons.
AGUAAUGUUUAUCGAGAGUUAUAUAAUAAAAUGCAGAUUGCAUCGAUGCUUUAUCGGCCGCUGCCGGGUCGCUACACGCUGGUGCGCGCAAUGGAACACUGUAAAAUAGAUCCAUUUAGUAUUUUGUCAUGAUUGUCACCUUCUCUCUGGCACUGCACCGUUUGCACGUCUCGCGUUAACAACGUCUGUGGUCCUUUUUUUAAUUAUUGUUUAACAAAUUUAUAAUAUUUUAUCGUGUGCCGUGUUUUUAUAUAAUUUUUGGUUUUACGGGCGCUAAUCGUCACUCAUUAAUCGUUAUUUUGUUUUUAAUAUUGGUUAUAUUGUUGUGUAUGCGCUAAUCGCCACAUUUUCUACUUUAUAUACGUGUGCGCGAAUUACCACGUUCGUAUUAUAUUAUUAUAUUUUAUAUCGUUGUAAUUAUAAUAUAUUUAUUGUGAGUAAAUUGCACUUAGUGUAAAGGCAUAGGUAGCAGCUGCAGGCCAUCAGUACGCCGACAAAGUCGUAUCAGCAGUACCUAUCUGUAUGGCACGUAUGACGACGACGGUGAUACACUCAUCCCAGCAGAACAGGUGUAACGUGUGUACGGUCAACGGCGUUUAGCUGUUCGAGUCCAAAUCGUAUCCGCCGGCAGCACCAUCACCGCGGCGGUGUCCUCUGGUGUCAGUCACCAGUAUGCUGUACCCGAAUCCGUUCGACUACUCUGUCCAGUUGUCCCUGCAAUUCUCGCUGUCAGCUGCUACGGCCCCGCCGCCACUCACGAACGCAAAGGGAUCGUGCAUAUGGAAUCCCAGCCUCAUACCGCCCGCCACGGCGAGCCCGUCAACGUCCAACAUGGGCGUUCCACCAGCCGAUACCACACAGGCAUUGUUGACACGCUCUUUGAGCAACGUCUCCGCGCGAAACGACUACAUUUUCACUGAUGGCGGUGUUAACGUGACGGACAAAACCUAGGACGACGGUAAACGAAUGAGUAAUGAACCGCGAACUAGGCCAACACUACAUGAAUUACUUAUCACCUACGGUCCUUGCGCACACCUUUUCGGUCACGGCAUUCGGUAUCCAUAGCAAUGAACACACCCAGCCGCAACGAACGGAUCGAUGGAGCUCUUUGCAAGUGGUUCCAGCUACACACUUAGCCGGUGCCAACACCACAAUAUAUUCUCGUGUUAAUAAUAAUAAUAAUAAUAAUAAUAAUAACAGUUAUAUACCAUUAUUCCUUAUAGCUGUACAUAUUAACUACUAUUAUUUUUUAUUAUCUCAACUGGGCCUGCUGAAAAGUAUACGCCCAACUUCCUCGAGGAUAACUAAACAAUUAUUUAUGUAUAAGAAACAUAAGCGCCUAUUCCAGUCGAUCUUCUGUCUACUGCUUACCUCAAGUAUGGCAUAUCCAAUUCAACAGUUCCAUGGUUAUGUCCACCAGGCCAAAGAACUAAAUUAUUUCCCUCAUAAUUUAUGUUUAUAAUUGCUGUACUUAACUGGACAAUAUUAUUCCACUUUUUUAUUUCUUUGUUUUUCACAAAUCAAGUACCUACCUUAUGAAUAAAAUAUAACUAUUAAAACAUACAAAAUAUAAAGGAUUAGUUUAAUAAACUAACAUUUUAU